Non-coding RNA from Caretta caretta (loggerhead turtle), 3205 nucleotides. The record is from RefSeq and is a predicted model, not a curated record. NCBI's taxonomy places the organism in Eukaryota, Metazoa, Chordata, Testudines, Cheloniidae.
UCCCUCGGGAGGGGGCGGGGCCGGGGCUGGACAGGCCGAGGCGAGUCCCAGCGACGAGUCCGGCCGCGCAGCUCGCGGGGUCCGGGAUGGCCCUGGCGCUGCGCCUGCUGCUGCUGCUGGGGGCCGCUGCCCUGCCGGGGGGCCGCUCCCGCCUGCACUCCACGCGCAUAUACAACACAGUGGUGUCGGAGCCUGGCCCAGGGCUGCCCUGGUACAGCGCUGUCGGCUACGUGGAUGAUCAGCUCUUCGUGGACUACACCAGCGAGAAGCGGAGGGUGGAGCCACACACAGAAUGGAUGGCUCGGAACGUGGACCCACAGCACUGGGAUGAGCAGACCUGGCGUGCACGGCGCUGGCAGGCCUGGUUCAAUGCGAGUCUGAACGCCCUGCGUGAGCUCUACAACCACAACAAGGGGUUUCACGUUAUCCAGACGAUAUACGGCUGUGAUCUCCGGGAAGACAACGUCAUUCAGGGGUUUUACCAGGAUUCAUAUGACGGACGAGACUUUCUUACCUUCGAUAAGGAGACCAUGACUUGGGUAGCAGCAGAUAUUGGGGCUCAGAUCACCAAGAAGAGAUGGGAUGUUGAAAUAGGUGACAACCAGCGGUGGAAACGGUACCUGGAGGAGGAAUGUAUUCCCUGGCUAAGGAGUUCUCUAGAGUAUGGGAAGGAGACUCUGCAGAGGAAAGUGCGCCCAACAGCUAGAGUGAGCGACCGGUCAUCUCAUGAUGGCCUCACCACCCUCUCCUGUACAGUCAGAGGGUUCUACCCCCGGGACAUCACCGUGACCUGGCUGAAAAAUGGGGAGAGCAGACAGCAAGAGACCUACUCUGAAGGCAUCCUACCCAGUGGGGACGGGACUUACCAGACCUGGGUGAAAAUGGAGAUUGAUCCCAAGAUCAAAGCCCGUUAUUCAUGUCACGUGGAGCAUGAAAGCCUGUUAGAGCCACUCUCUGUCUCCUGGGAACCAAAUAACAAUCUGAUUCCCGUUGUGGCUGGAGUUAUCACUGCAGUUGUCCUGAUUGGUGUUAUAAUUGGAGUAGUCGUCUGGAAAAAGAAACGCUCAGGGAAGAAGGGAGAUGGCUACACUAUAGCUUCAGAGGAUGUUGAUCAGGUGGUUCCGCAGUUUCUUUGAGAGCGUGUGGCACAAGCUGUCAGCAUAGUCUGUGUGAAAAUGACCAAGGAUCUAGUGGCUCUGACCUAUCUGCCAAGGCUUAACUGAGCCUGUUGGAGUCUGUGCCACGACGUGAGGGGAGCCCAGAGAGGAAGAUGGAUGAGCUCUGCUCUGUCUCCCUGCAAGAACCAGUCAACCCCUCCCUAGCUUUUCUCUGGCACUUGGAGUGUCCUGUGUGGGAUUUCCGGCCUCAUCUGUCUGCUCACUGAACCACUUUUUGCUUUUCAGAUGUAAUAGUUUUCUGUAAUAAUGUUUUAUUUGCACAGAAUAAUUUCCAAAAUGUGAAUGGAUAAAAACUCUGUUAGUCAGAGUUUAGUAUUUGCUAGCGUUCAGUGAUGCACUCAGUGCUCUGGCUGCGCAAUGCUGUCUGCACAAGACGGUGCGCGAGAUCUGUGAGCAGUAGCUGCUUGUGUGUCUAUGGUGGGGGACGUCUGUCUUUUCUGUAGAAUUUCAUGAUUAUAACAUGGUAAAUGGCCGGGUCUACUCGCAGCUGGCAGCGCUGUUGCUCACAUCGGCUGAGGCAUUUUGUUGGACAGGAAUAAGUGUCUGCAUUUAGUUUAUAAGUGCCUCAAAUGUCCUUUUCACCAUUGAUAGAGCCAUAGAAAUGCUGGGCUACUAGGAAUGUCAAGAGGUCGUCAAGUCAAGCCCCUGAUCUCAGGCAGCACCAAGUAAACCUAGACCAUCCUGGACAGGUGUUUGUCCAACCUGUUGUUGAAAACUUCUAAUGACGGGGGUUCUACAUCCUCUCUAGGAAACCUGUGUGAUGAAGUGGGAUAUUUUCCUAACAUUGCAUACGUAGACCGUGCCUCCAUUUCCCCAAUGCGCUGCAUGUCUAACCCAGGUGGGAGGGGAGUGCUAUUGUUGCAGAGGACCAGGUGUGACCCAGUCUAGCAGCCUGGACCCCAGACCAUGGCCUGGACACUUUUUCUAACUCAGUGACUGAUGACCCGAAGGCCCAUCCGAACUUGGAGCCAGUCAGUUAUGGGCAGCAGAGAGAACAAAGAGCUGAAGUGAGAGUCACCUGGAGAUCUGUUUGCCCGUGAAAGAAGUCAAAGAUGGAGGCGGGGCCUUGGAGGUGAUAUAGGGUGGACCGCAGAAAGAAAGUAACCUCUGGGCUGGGAACAAAGAGCGGUCUAAGCCUACCUGGAUGGGGACAGACCCAGAUGGACACCCCUGAGAACAUCUUGUGCUCUGUUCCAGACAUACAAUAAACCCUUCUGUGCUGCGCUGGCUGAGAAUCGCUGCAGGCUAGAGAGAGAGAGGCAUGCUGGAGGCUCAGAUGUGUGGUACUGGGAGGCGGAGGAGAAGCGUACAGCUUAAAUCCCGAGCAAAGCGUGACCUUAUGUAGGGUCAAUACUCUAAAGGCCGGUUCCUACCAAGGGCAUAUGGAGCCAAGAGAGCACUGGCCUGUGAGUCUGUGACAACCUGUUCCACAGUGAACUGUCCUUAUAGCUAGAGAGUUUUUCCUAAUGUGUAAUCUAAAUUCCCCCUUCUCCAACUAUCAACUGGAGAACGAUUGAUCACCGUCCUCUUCGGAGCAGCCCUUAAUACAGGGAUAGUUAAUUAUUUUUUUCAAGGUCCAAAUUUCUUGGUCAAGAUAUAGCCACGGCCCAGACUCAAGAGAAACAUUUCUCACACCACAAGUGCCCCUGUUCAACGAACACAAACAAUGCUGUGAAAUAUACCCAGGGCCUAUGUUGUUUAUAUUCUUAGUGCAUUAAAUGAAAAAUGAAAUCAAACCACUGUAUAGCCUGAAAAUAACGUCCAGGAAAGAUAACGAGGAGUCCCAUGGCACCUUAAAGACUAACCGGUUUAAUUGGGCAUAAGCUUUCAUGGGCCCACGAAAGCUUAUGCCCAAAUAAAUCUGUUAGUCUUUAAGGUGCCACCGGACUCCUCGUUGUUUUUGGGGAUACAGACUAACACGGCUACCCCCUGAUACUUGUCUCCAAUUUAUCUGAAACAUUGAGAAAGUAUUUAGAAAAAUGUCAAAUAGAUGCAAAUAUUAGCAUUAAAAAUACUUUCAGGCAACA